AAAAAAUAUUACAAGUACAUUUAGAUCAGACUGAGCUGGUACAAUGCAGAGCAGCUGUUUUGCUGGGGCUUAUUUUCAAUUCAGCACAAUUCAGGAACAGAUGGAAACACGAAAACAAGCCAGCUGUGCUUCACUGCUGUGCAGUGCAUCAAUAAUUAAAUUUGUUUGCACUAACUGUCUAGAACAUGUUCUAUGAAUUGUGUAAAGGUUUCAUUUAGACCGGCUUUUAAGAUCAUUUAAAGCUACAGUGGCUCCAAUUUAGAUCGACAAUUAUUUAUUGACAUUGCACAGGGUACAACAAAAUUAAGUGACAGUCCUUAUGGUGCAUAAAAUGGUAAAAAGAAAAAUAGUGCAAAUUAUUUCUUCACAUAUCCCAAUUUAGGAGGUUGAGGUCCAAAUGCAGGGUUUCAACCCAGCAUGUAUCCAGCUACAGUGACUUCAUGACUGAUCACAUCAGAGGAAGACCCAACCCCAAAGGACACACCAAAGCCCUGAGUCAUCUUAGCAUCAAAGCAGCGAUCUGUAACAGCGGUCACGGUGAUGUCACUUCGCCACCGUGCACCGUGUGUGAACAGGUGGGAGUGCAGAUAACACAGCAGGCCAGUGCGAAUAAACACCCUCUGAUGAAAUACCAUGUCUCAGGGACAGAAACAGGGCUAGAGUCUCCACGCUGGGCAAGUGGGAGGGAGAGAUCUGCCAACAACCAGCUGGCGUGCGAUCUCCGAGCCACGAGCUGAGUGUUUUUCUUACACUUUUUCACCGAGCAAAACAUCUAACCAAGACGGUGCACGCAGUGUGGAGGAGUGUGUGAAAGUUGAACAUGCAGUAAACACUGCUGCUUGCAUGCAGAGAGAAGCACAUAAUUAGCAUUACCCCGAUCUGUCGAUAUUAACCCUUGACUUGCACCUGUGAAUGGCUUUCACCUCCAGUGCCUUGGCUGCAGUUGCCAUAACAACUGCCAUGGCAACUGAGAGCAUGUGACAUCAUCAGGUGUGAGUCACCAGGGUGCUAUGGGUGCAGAUGUUUUUUGGGACAGAUUGGCAUUAAACAAGGACGAAAGACAAAAUCUUCCCUUUUUUUUAGUUUGUAAUGGAGAAGAAAAACUGUUUUAAUUUAUUAUUAUUAUUUUAGCAUUUAUUACAUAUGACAGUUUAGUCAAUCGGUUAUAAUUAUUAUGGAUGAUAAUAUACAAAUCAUGUACAAAUUAUUAUGGAUGAUAAUAUACAAAUCAUGUACAAAUCAUGUUUAUAUUAAAUACUAUAUUCAAUAUGUGAAUUAAUACAAAGGCCCAUGCUGAGCAAAAUGAAUUAUGUGACCGUGCACACAAUAAAAUAUUCAGGAUGUACAAGCUAAACAGAUGUACAGGCACUGACGUCUUAACAUAAAAAAAAAAAAAAAGACAAAAUUACAAAAGUUCUCUUUUCACAAAAACUACGUGCUUUACCAAAUUUAGGCUGGCCAAAAAUAAAUAAAUAAAUUCAUACUGUAAAAUGAGCUGUGGAGAAAAGAAAACCAAUGAAUUACUUCCUUAUUAUCUGAAAAUAAUGUCAUCGUAAUUAAUAAUUUAUUUUCGUUAACGCUAAAUUAGAGAGUUACAAGAUAACUAGCUAAAUAGCUAGUUAGCUUGUUUAUUAGCAUUACAGAGUUACAAGAUAAUUAGCUAUAAGCUAGCGUGUUACAAGCUAACAAUCUAGCUAUUUAGCUGUUUAUUUCACUUCUCCAGUUACAAAUCCUAUAA
Molecule: long non-coding RNA, 1738 nt
Organism: Tachysurus fulvidraco (yellow catfish)
Lineage: Eukaryota; Metazoa; Chordata; Actinopteri; Siluriformes; Bagridae
Exons: 3
Source: RefSeq, a predicted model, not a curated record